This 1005-nucleotide long non-coding RNA is filed under the name Callithrix jacchus (white-tufted-ear marmoset). RNAcentral describes it as "lncRNA (ENSCJAG00000082648.1)". Lineage: Eukaryota; Metazoa; Chordata; Mammalia; Primates; Cebidae. The record is from RNAcentral.
GUACCCUCUGCUCGCAGCUCCUCUGAGCACGCCGUCUCAUCAUCACCGUCAUGAAUCAUCGUAGGAAAGUCCUAAAUCCCAGAGUUUGCAAUGUUAUAAAACUCACAACCUUUGGAAGGAACUAACCUCUUGCGGGUCAGGCAAAUUGGAGCUGAUAUAAUGCAAAGUGCACGGUGGUGGAUUUUAUUUAUUAUUAUUAUUUUUAGAUUUAUUCAUCAGUCCGUGCAGGAGGAAGUGAAGCCAUCACUGGAUACAAACGUAGGACAAGUGCAGCGUCAUGAGCGUGUAGAGGGAGGUGGAGAGCCGGGAGAGGCUUUGCUGAGGGAGUGGUAUUCAGAAGAACGAGAGUCAGGGUAUUUGAAACAUCUGACUUAUGCAAGACCACAGGGAAGAGGUUGCUGGCAUGACAUCCUCCACACUGUACCUGGCUCCUGUCACCUGCCAUAUCACCUCCUGCCCCACCUCCUCCUUCAAACCUCAACACAGGUGAGUUCUUGGCAUGAGGUACAUCUCUUCCCACACCAAAGGCUUCCACACAUGGCAACAUUGCCCUGCAAAACCUUUCUCUGUGUCAUCCUCACAGUACAGCAGGCACACGGUAGGUGCUCACUGCAGGCUUUGUUGCAAGAGCAGCUAGAUUCCUCUUUGAGCAGUUCUGGUAGGAGGUCAUUGGAUGGUUCUGUGAUAGGUCCGUGAUGGAGAAAUGAUUGCUAUCCAGAGGGAUGAUCGCUGUCCAGGGCUGGGUGUUUUAUGGACUGGCAGUUCUGUGUUUGGAUAAAAUUCUUUCUCGUUCUACCCAAAAUAUGCCUCCCUGGAGGUCAGUCCCUUGGUCCCUGUUCUGAACUCAGAUUCUACAGAAAGUGAACCCACUUCCAUGUGUCAGUCCUUUGAUGAGUGAAGGCGGUCAUCACGCCUACCCUGGGUUUUCCUUGCUUUUUAUUUUUGCAGCAUGAAUACUUACAGUGUCUUCACUAGGUUCAUCUUUCAGCACAGUUUCAACAUCGC